This 597-nucleotide ribosomal RNA is filed under the name uncultured bacterium. RNAcentral describes it as "bacterial SSU rRNA". It matches the Rfam family "Bacterial small subunit ribosomal RNA", at positions 225 to 861 of the family's 1533-position model. The record is from RNAcentral.
AUGGGGAUGCGUCUGAUUAGCUUGUUGGUGAGGUAACGGCUCACCAAGGCGACGAUCAGUAGGGGUUCUGAGAGGAAGGUCCCCCACAUUGGAACUGAGACACGGUCCAAACUCCUACGGGAGGCAGCAGUGAGGAAUAUUGGUCAAUGGGCGAGAGCCUGAACCAGCCAAGUAGCGUGCAGGAUGACGGCCUAUGGGUUGUAAACUGCUUUUAUAUGGGGAUAGGUACCAUAUGAAUAAGGACCGGCUAAUUCCGUGCCAGCAGCCGCGGUAAUACGGAAGGUCCAGGCGUUAUCCGGAUUUAUUGGGUUUAAAGGGAGCGUAGGCCGCCCCUUAAGCGUGUUGUGAAAUGCCGCGGCUCAACCGUGGCACUGCAGCGCGAACUGGGGGGCUUGAGUGCACGCAACGCAGGCGGAAUUCGUGGUGUAGCGGUGAAAUGCUUAGAUAUGGCGAAGAACCCCGAUUGCGAAGGCAGCUGGCGGGAGCGUAACUGACGCUGAAGCUCGAAAGCGCGGGUAUCGAACAGGAUUAGAUACCCUGGUAGUCCGCGCGGUAAACGAUGGAUGCCCGCUUGGGCCGCGGCUAAGCGAAAGCAUU